Molecule: small RNA, 28 nt
Filed under: Bombyx mori (domestic silkworm)
Lineage: Eukaryota; Metazoa; Arthropoda; Insecta; Lepidoptera; Bombycidae
Description: ovarian small RNA-33507
Source: RNAcentral
UGCAGAUUCUGGGAGCAGACGGCGGGCC